GUGAAUACCAAGAACUAUUAUGAUCGUGUCUGUUCGGGUUCAGGUGCCUUAAUAACAUCCUUUCAUCUUUCAGUCGUUGCGCAGUUUCUGAAUUCUAUCUGCUCUUUCCUCUUUCUGUCUUUUCUCUAUUCUUCUUGUCCUCUGCCGCCUUUACUUUCUUGUCAUCAUUAUCUGGACAUCUCCUUUCUUUCCUUUUCUGUGAAUAUCUUUUAGAAAUCUGACACCAUUAGCUUAGAGUCUAGUGUAGCUCUGCCCCGUGCUAAGUCCUCAGGCUCCGAGUAUAUAUCGGUGCCAGCUUUUCUUCAUUCGUGAGCCUUCUGUUGAAGCGAGAAAUUCUUGUUUUAUCUGUGACAGGUCUAUUCGACGCCUUCUUCAAACAGAUUGCCUUGUGCCCCAGAGGUUUGCCGUGAUUGUGCUCUUAUCAUCUUA
RNAcentral lists this long non-coding RNA (429 nucleotides) under Manihot esculenta (cassava). RNAcentral's name for it is "long non-coding RNA (MESC_LNC002089)". Lineage: Eukaryota; Viridiplantae; Streptophyta; Magnoliopsida; Malpighiales; Euphorbiaceae. The record is from RNAcentral.